GGAUAUGUAUCCAUGAAUCAUCCAGAAAAUUAAUAAGAUGAUGACACAUAUUCUUAAAAGUCAAAAAUUUGAGGCAUGUGUCAAUGAUGGUUAAUUUUUAAAUUAUUUCUAAUCGUAUCACGAAAACGAUGAAUGAUCCAGAUAGAUUGAUGCACAGAUAGCUUUUCUUAGGGGUAGACGAGUCUCGAGACUACAGUGUGAAGAUACUGGAGUAAGAGUGUAGAUAUUUGUUAGAGAAUAAAUAUACUAAACGUGACCAAAAUAAGAAGUCACUUGGUUGUCUACCACUCAUCAGUGACAUUCUCGAUACUGUAAUAGUGUGAGUGAUUUUUUGACCUUCGGUGUCUCGACUAUUCAUAAUGAGGUUGCUGUAGUUUGACUACACCAUAACUCGAUCUCCUAGUUAUAUGGAGUCUUGAGGUGUAUGUUGACUGUAGUAGAUUUAUUGUAGGAAUAGGGUGUAUAUCUAGAUAGGAUCUAUCGACCUUAGUAGAUAAGGAGAAAUCUUUUGUGAUUUAUGAGGC
This 524-nucleotide long non-coding RNA is filed under the name Elaeis guineensis (African oil palm). RNAcentral describes it as "long non-coding RNA (EGUI_LNC035599)". The record is from RNAcentral. Lineage: Eukaryota; Viridiplantae; Streptophyta; Magnoliopsida; Arecales; Arecaceae.